RNAcentral lists this small nucleolar RNA (105 nucleotides) under Pachysolen tannophilus NRRL Y-2460. Its description in RNAcentral is "Small nucleolar RNA snR73". It matches the Rfam family "Small nucleolar RNA snR73". Lineage: Eukaryota; Fungi; Ascomycota; Pichiomycetes; Alaninales; Pachysolenaceae. The record is from Rfam by way of RNAcentral.
GUAAAUGAUGAUUUUUCCACAACUCACGACGGUCAACUGUGUCUUAUAUAAAAUAUAUAAGACGUUGAUGAUAAUAUCGGUCCUGACAGACCGUGGAGCCUGACU